GGAAUGACUCAUGGCGAAGAGGAGGGGGCUUCAGGCAUGGCUGCCGUAAUAAGGCUCCUGGAGGAACAAAAGAGGCUCCUAUUGAGGACGACGGAUGACACAAAAAGAACCAUGGAAGAGCACAUGGGGCGAAUGACUAGGAGAAUGGAG
Molecule: long non-coding RNA, 150 nt
Organism: Neoarius graeffei (lesser salmon catfish)
Lineage: Eukaryota; Metazoa; Chordata; Actinopteri; Siluriformes; Ariidae
Exons: 3
Source: RefSeq, a predicted model, not a curated record